CCUACGGGAGGCUGCAGUGAGGAAUAUUGGUCAAUGGUCGGGAGACUGAACCAGCCAAGCCGCGUGAGGGAUGAAUGUCCAGAGUAUCGUCAACCUCUUUUGUCAGGGCACAAAGGCAGGGACGUGUCCCCGGAUGAGUGUACCUGAAGAAAAAGCAUCGGCUAACUCCGUGCCAGCAGCCGCGGUAAUACGGAGGAUGCGAGCGUUAUCCGGAUUUACUGGGUGUAAAGGGAGCGUAGACGGUGCAGCAAGUCUGAUGUGAAAGGUCGGGGCCCAACCCCGAGACUGCAUUGGAAACUGUUGAACUGGAGUACAGGAGAGGUAAGCGGAAUUCGUAGUGUAGCGGUGAAAUGCGUAGAUAUUAGGAGGAACACCAGUGGCGAAGGCGGCUUACUAGACUGUAACUGACGUUGAGGCUCGAAAGCGUGGGGAGCAAACAGGAUUAGAUACCCGUGUAGUC
This 460-nucleotide ribosomal RNA is filed under the name uncultured bacterium. RNAcentral's name for it is "partial 16S ribosomal RNA". It matches the Rfam family "Bacterial small subunit ribosomal RNA", at positions 338 to 795 of the family's 1533-position model. The record is from RNAcentral.